ACGUGUUUCUGACCAAAACAGCAGAUACCAAAGUCUCCUGAACCUAAACCUGAACCCAGCUGUGUGUCCUUCAAGAGUGACCAGUCUAAGGAUUUACCUGAGACCUUCAAAGAUAUGCAUCACUCUGUUGAUCCAAGGAGAAAGCUGGAGGAACCAGAACCCAGCUGUGUGUCCAUGAAGAGCGAGCUGUCUAAGGGUUUACCUGUGGCCUCCAAAGAUGGACAUCACUCUGUUGAUCAAAGAGAGGACCAGGAGAUCUCAGAAGUUACCAGUGGUCUGUCUGCUCAGGACUCCAUAUGUAUGGUCUGUACAUGUACAACAACUACUUUUACAUCUAUUUUGUUCACAAUCAUCUGGUGUACUUUAUAGACCAGAAGAUUGUCAUUGUUAUGUUUUUUUAUGUUGCACCAUAGA
Sander lucioperca (pikeperch) is the source of this 414-nucleotide long non-coding RNA. RefSeq lists it as uncharacterized. The transcript is spliced from 4 exons. Lineage: Eukaryota; Metazoa; Chordata; Actinopteri; Perciformes; Percidae. The record is from RefSeq and is a predicted model, not a curated record.